AGUAACCCUAAAACAGACAGGCCAUUAAUCUCUUUGACAUCACAUCUCUUCGCGGAAAUCUCAUUAAUGGGUUCCUUUCGUCUCCCUCUCAGAUUCUUUAUAUCAUUCAUAUUUUCCCUCACAUUUGUGACACACAAAAUUCUCUCAAGCCAUGAAUUCUAACAGCAAAUCAACCGUUUCCGGCGAUUUUACCACGAAGAAACCGAACGGAAAGGAUGUUGUCUCCUCCGCGAGCCGGUCGAACGAGACGGGCAAACCCAAACCUUCAUCUCUAUUGCUAAAUAUGUUUCCGGUGAUCCUAAGAAGAGAUGACGAGAGUAGAUGAGCAGUAGGGGUUUCUUUAAUUGGUUCAAAGUAUAUGGCUGCUUCAAUCUCAGCAAGACUUAUUCGCACUGUUGGAUCCUUUGCAGCUUUAGGACGCAGCAGCACAAAUGCAUCUGGAAAUUUUUUAAGCUCUCUUCCAUGUAAUCUAAAGGUUGAUGUCUACAUCACUUCGAUUGCAUAUACAGACUCACCAAAUCGAAGUAGUCUGUUGGCUUAUACACAAAUAUCUUAUUGGCGUCAAUGUCGUUCUCGGAUAUGAGGUACCACCAUCGUUUCUUUUUUGAAAUGCUCUCUUUGUGAUUGUAUCUAUGUUGAGUCUAAUCUACAGAUGGAGCAAAUGCGGUUGGGGAAGACUCUACAAGCAAUUUUUUCUUGAGCUAUCUGAAGUUUCAUCAAGGAUUGCGAGGGCCAUUUCUUGAGUCAAUGAGAUCUGCUUCUUAAAGACAAGUUCUGAUGUUGUGUUGUUUAAUGUUGUGUCUUGAUUUGGCAGUUUUGCUUUGUUCUUUUAACAUAACCGAUGGUUGGGUAAAAGGUUCAGUCCAGAACUUGAAGUUUUUAGGUAUGUUGGUGAUAAGGAUUGCCGUAGGGAUUUGUAGGGAUUUGCGUAAGGUAAUGCAUGAUUAUGUCAACAAGGGCUCUAAGACGAGAGUAAAUUUUUUUGUCUUUCUCAAGAAACUUUGGGUUUAUCAGCUGUGUAUAAUUAUAUUGUUUUGUUUGUUUUGUUUCAGAAAUCUUUGUUACCGUUUGAUGUGUUGUUGACAACGUAUGAUAUAGCAUUGGUGGAUCAAGACUUCCUUUCUCAGGUUCCGUGGUAACUGAUGAAGCUCAAAUACUCAAGAAUCCCAACAGUGUAUGUUACCUACCUAGAAAAAUUCAUCGAGUUGUGAAAUGAAUGAUAGAUCAUUGGUUAGUUGAUACUGUGAAUUCAAGAUUAACUUCCAUUCAUUUCACACAUCUCUUAUGUAGCCGUUUAUAUGGAUUUAUUGUAUCGGUUUACUUUCCAGCCGAAAGCUCUCCACUUCUAUUUUGACUCCUGAUUGUACAUUCAUGA
Long non-coding RNA from Brassica napus (rape), 1375 nucleotides. RefSeq lists it as uncharacterized. The record is from RefSeq and is a predicted model, not a curated record. NCBI's taxonomy places the organism in Eukaryota, Viridiplantae, Streptophyta, Magnoliopsida, Brassicales, Brassicaceae. The transcript has 3 exons.